CCCCGCGCAGCGCCCGGCCCCGCCGCUCACGCCGACGCUCUGCCUGCCGCUCCAAUUGCAGGGUAAAAACCGGACAGCAAAACAGCACGUAAUCGUACAAACAGCGUUUACUUUCGGGCACGGCCGCAAUGCCGCGGGCGGCGCCGGCCCAGCGCGUUCGAGCACACCCCAAGCUUGAAUACGGCCGGUGGAGGGGGAAAAGGGCCGGGGAGCUGCAGCACCGGCGCUGGCUGGAGGGGCGGCUUGUGCCAAAGGGCAGUGAGCGAGAAGAGAAGCGGCCCCGGCUCGGCCCGGGCUGUGGUCGGCGAUGUGACAGCCUGCAGGCACCCUCCGCCUUCUGCCGCCCUCUUUCCACGCCCCGCAGCUAUUCUGGAAAGAAACCUCAGCUCCAAAAAUAAGUAAAGAAAACAAAAACAGACGCGUGCUCGCGAUCGCCGGGGAGAGACCGGCGGGCUUGUUGCGACCGUGCUUUUCCGUACGGGCGACAGCCUCCUUCCUUCUACCGUAGCCGGGGGCCCUGCCGUCGGCCCCGGCUCGCCGCUGCACCGUACCAAAACCCGACUUCCUCGCUCAGGCCGCGAAACCACCUCCUUGCAGAGGCAUUUCGAAAGCGCAGACGCCACGGACAACGCAGCGAAACGCUCCUGCGCUGGGGCAGCCAGGGGCCACGUCUCGGCUAAAACGCCCCGGCGUAAAUUAUGAGCGCGCGUUUUUGAUACGUAGGCCCGCUACAGAUAACCACGCUGCUUAACUUGCAUGGGGGGAGGCAGGAAUUCAGCUAAAGGAAAUCGAUUUGACUUGCACAUCCUGAUUUUGGAAAGUUGGUUAUUAGGCGUUACAGGUUCAUAGGCAUGGACGGACAUAAACACAUCAUUAUAUGCCUCGGCAUGCAGCAAGCACUUGAAACUUCAAGUAAUCAUUUUAUCUUUGGAAAAAAAAGAAGGUUUUAAAAGUA
Dromaius novaehollandiae (emu) is the source of this 955-nucleotide long non-coding RNA. RefSeq lists it as uncharacterized. The transcript is spliced from 2 exons. The record is from RefSeq and is a predicted model, not a curated record. NCBI's taxonomy places the organism in Eukaryota, Metazoa, Chordata, Aves, Casuariiformes, Dromaiidae.